AUUGAACGCUGGCGGCAUGCCUUACACAUGCAAGUCGAACGGCAGCAUGAUCUAGCUUGCUAGAUUGAUGGCGAGUGGCGAACGGGUGAGUAAUACAUCGGAACGUGCCCUGUAGUGGGGGAUAACUAGUCGAAAGAUUAGCUAAUACCGCAUACGACCUGAGGGUGAAAGUGGGGGACCGCAAGGCCUCAUGCUAUAGGAGCGGCCGAUGUCUGAUUAGCUAGUUGGUGAGGUAAAGGCUCACCAAGGCGACGAUCAGUAGCUGGUCUGAGAGGACGAUCAGCCACACUGGGACUGAGACACGGCCCAGACUCCCACGGGAGGCAGCAGUGGGGAAUUUUGGACAAUGGGCGAAAGCCUGAUCCAGCAAUGCCGCGUGUGUGAAGAAGGCCUUCGGGUUGUAAAGCACUUUUGUCCGGAAAGAAAUGGCUCUGGUUAAUACCUGGGGUCGAUGACGGUACCGGAAGAAUAAGGACCGGCUAACUACGUG
Molecule: ribosomal RNA, 490 nt
Filed under: uncultured bacterium
Lineage: Bacteria
Description: partial 16S ribosomal RNA
Rfam family: Bacterial small subunit ribosomal RNA
Source: RNAcentral